UAGGGAAUCUUCGGCAAUGGGGGCAACCCUGACCGAGCAACGCCGCGUGAGUGAAGAAGGUUUUCGGAUCGUAAAGCUCUGUUGUAAGUCAAGAACGGGUGUGAGAGUGGAAAGUUCACACUGUGACGGUAGCUUACCAGAAAGGGACGGCUAACUACGUGCCAGCAGCCGCGGUAAUACGUAGGUCCCGAGCGUUGUCCGGAUUUAUUGGGCGUAAAGCGAGCGCAGGCGGUUUGAUAAGUCUGAAGUUAAAGGCUGUGGCUCAACCAUAGUUCGCUUUGGAAACUGUCAAACUUGAGUGCAGAAGGGGAGAGUGGAAUUCCAUGUGUAGCGGUGAAAUGCGUAGAUAUAUGGAGGAACACCGGUGGCGAAAGCGGCUCUCUGGUCUGUAACUGACGCUGAGGCUCGAAAGCGUGGGGAGCGGACAGGAUUAGAUACCCUGG
This 443-nucleotide ribosomal RNA is filed under the name uncultured bacterium. RNAcentral's name for it is "partial 16S ribosomal RNA". It matches the Rfam family "Bacterial small subunit ribosomal RNA", at positions 355 to 790 of the family's 1533-position model. The record is from RNAcentral.